This 62-nucleotide transfer RNA is filed under the name Chilecicada sp. PL492. RNAcentral describes it as "tRNA-Asp". The record is from RNAcentral. Lineage: Eukaryota; Metazoa; Arthropoda; Insecta; Hemiptera; Cicadidae.
AAGAGAUUAUUUUAAUGAAAAUAUAAAUCUGUCAGAUUUAAGAUACUGUAUGGUAUCUCUUU